RNAcentral lists this ribosomal RNA (567 nucleotides) under uncultured bacterium. RNAcentral's name for it is "bacterial SSU rRNA". It matches the Rfam family "Bacterial small subunit ribosomal RNA", at positions 33 to 595 of the family's 1533-position model. The record is from RNAcentral.
ACGCUGGCGGCAGGCCUAACACAUGCAAGUCGAGCGGUAGAGAGAAGCUUGCUUCUCUUGAGAGCGGCGGACGGGUGAGUAAUGCCUAGGAAUCUGCCUGGUAGUGGGGGAUAACGUUCGGAAACGGACGCUAAUACCGCAUACGUCCUACGGGAGAAAGCAGGGGACCUUCGGGCCUUGCGCUAUCAGAUGAGCCUAGGUCGGAUUAGCUAGUUGGUGAGGUAAUGGCUCACCAAGGCGACGAUCCGUAACUGGUCUGAGAGGAUGAUCAGUCACACUGGAACUGAGACACGGUCCAGACUCCUACGGGAGGCAGCAGUGGGGAAUAUUGGACAAUGGGCGAAAGCCUGAUCCAGCCAUGCCGCGUGUGUGAAGAAGGUCUUCGGAUUGUAAAGCACUUUAAGUUGGGAGGAAGGGCAUUAACCUAAUACGUUAGUGUUUUGACGUUACCGACAGAAUAAGCACCGGCUAACUCUGUGCCAGCAGCCGCGGUAAUACAGAGGGUGCAAGCGUUAAUCGGAAUUACUGGGCGUAAAGCGCGCGUAGGUGGUUUGUUAAGUUGGAUGU